UACCCUACGGGACGCAGCAGUGAGGAAUAUUGGUCAAUGGGAGAGAUCCUGAACCAGCCAAGCCGCGUGAGGGAAGACGGCCCUAUGGGUUGUAAACCUCUUUUGUCGGAGAACAAAACCCGGGACGAGUCCCGGACUGCGUGUAUCCGAAGAAAAAGCAUCGGCUAACUCCGUGCCAGCAGCCGCGGUAAUACGGAGGAUGCGAGCGUUAUCCGGAUUUAUUGGGUUUAAAGGGUGCGCAGGCGGCGAGUUAAGUCAGCGGUAAAAUUUCGGGGCUCAACCCCGCCGAGCCGUUGAAACUGGCU
RNAcentral lists this ribosomal RNA (305 nucleotides) under uncultured bacterium. Its description in RNAcentral is "bacterial SSU rRNA". It matches the Rfam family "Bacterial small subunit ribosomal RNA", at positions 335 to 638 of the family's 1533-position model. The record is from RNAcentral.